AUAAAAAAAUAAACUAAACUAAACAAAAUCAAAGGACUUCAAUGGUCAACAAGGCUCAUGAGCUGGUAGCACAGCAGAACACCCCCUUUAGGCCUGGCUUGACCCAGCAGCUCACAGAUAUCCCCCUUUCACGAUUUUCUUGUCUUUCCCAUUCAUGUCAGCUUCAUCACAGUGACAAAACGUGUCUUGCUGCGGCUCAGGCAAUGACCUCACAUCUCACAUCUCAGAGCCCAGACGGAGCUGGAAAACAUCUGUCCCAGAGGCCCCCGCCAGAGUUCCCUCCACUGUUCUUAACCACAGCCCACGCUCUGGCCAGGUUUCUCCUUUCAAGCCGUGCCGGUGCGGCGUCCACCCUCCCACAGCCCACAAGGCACCAGCAGCCGCCGCACACAGCGGAAGCGCCGAGCACCGAGCUCCGGACGUAAGACGGCCGGGAAGGCGACGGCGUCCAUGUGACUCGGCCUCGGCCAAUCAAUCACAGCUUGCGCUUGCCGCGACCUGGGAAGAGCGGGCCGCACGUGCUGCGCCUGCGCUCGUUCCAGCAUUUUGGUUGGACAGGCGCCGGCUGUCCCCACCCCCGAGGUGUGGUUGUCUCGGCGCCAUUUUGAGGCCCUGAAAAGGCGAAGAGGCCGGGGAAGUGCGGCGGGCGGCACAGGUGCGAGGGGACCUCCUCGAAGGGCAGUGGGCCGCAAAUAACUUCACCUGCCUUUCUGCUACUAAUUGUACUUAGUAAAUGUUUAGAUUGGGGGGGGGGUGAGCAAAGUCUCUGUAUAGCUUAGGCUGUGUAUGUAUGUAACGUGACAUUUUAACAAUAUUUAAAUCAACGCUGCUUUGAAAAAUCUAUUAUAAAAUGCAGAGCCGGGAUGGCGGGGCACUUUAAUCCCAGCACUCAGGAGGCUGAGGCAGGAGGGUGGCCACAAGUUGGAGGCCAGCCUGGGCUACAUAAAGCCUGUUUUCAAAAAAAAAAAAAAAAA
Long non-coding RNA from Heterocephalus glaber (naked mole-rat), 974 nucleotides. RefSeq lists it as uncharacterized. Lineage: Eukaryota; Metazoa; Chordata; Mammalia; Rodentia; Bathyergidae. The record is from RefSeq and is a predicted model, not a curated record.